Molecule: non-coding RNA, 104 nt
Organism: Canis lupus familiaris (dog)
Lineage: Eukaryota; Metazoa; Chordata; Mammalia; Carnivora; Canidae
Source: Rfam
GUGCUUGCUUCAGAAGCACAUAUACUAAAACUGAAAUGAUACAGAGAUUACCAUGGCCCCUGCGCAAGGAUGACACACAAAUUUGUGAAGCAUUCCAUAUUAAA